This 223-nucleotide long non-coding RNA is filed under the name Lathyrus oleraceus (garden pea). RNAcentral's name for it is "Pisum sativum (pea) long non-coding RNA (PSAT_LNC021242)". The record is from RNAcentral. Lineage: Eukaryota; Viridiplantae; Streptophyta; Magnoliopsida; Fabales; Fabaceae.
AAGUGUGAGUAAUAUGGGUAAUAGUCUCACAUUGGUUGGAAAUAUGGAGACUUGAGCAUUUAUAAGUGAGAGAAUCCACUCACCUAUCACCUUAAGGUUUUGGGUGAAUAUAUGGUGUGUGUCUCACAAAGGUGUUGCUCUAAAAAGAAGAAGCCUUAUAAUGUUCAAUGCUCCCAAGUGAAAAACUCUCCCAACAAAAUUUAUAUGAAAAAUUAUGUUAUUU